GUAUUUUAUCAUUUAAAGGCUGACAAGAGCCUAUUAAUUUCAUUCUAUAGACAUUCGACCGUGUAUGUCAAAAAAUACAUAAACACCCAGACUUUUUCAAUAUCAAGAGAGGUUCAACAAUAAAUGCCAACCCUCUCUCACAUCCCAAGUGUUUACAAAGAGUGCACAGGUGGAAAAGAGAAUGAAGUAAGCAGCAAAAGACGUGCACAUGCUCAUUUGAGCCAGCGACAGCCUUGCCACCCAUUUCGUUCAGUAAUGAUCCUUCCGCAGGUUCACCUACGGAAA
RNAcentral lists this unclassified non-coding RNA (285 nucleotides) under uncultured fungus. RNAcentral describes it as "sequence contains ITS1". The record is from RNAcentral. Lineage: Eukaryota; Fungi.